This is an RNA transcript of Melospiza melodia melodia, 4305 nucleotides long. RefSeq lists it as uncharacterized. NCBI's taxonomy places the organism in Eukaryota, Metazoa, Chordata, Aves, Passeriformes, Passerellidae. The transcript is spliced from 7 exons. The record is from RefSeq and is a predicted model, not a curated record.
GCCGCUUUCCUGCCGGGAGCCGCGCUCCGUCCCGUGCCGGCAGCGAGCGCGGGGUUCGGCCGCUCAAAGUUCGGCGGUGCCGUGGUUCGGAGGCGCUUUGGAGGCGUUGAUUGCAUCGCUGUGUUCGGUUUGCAGCGGGUGUACGCUAAGGGAUAUGGUGUUCUUCCUGAGUGGUACGGUUCUCGGUGCCGGUAGGGAUGAUAAAGAGGAUUUUUGAGGGCAUCGCAGCUGGUCUUCUGCCCGCCUUCCCCGCCCGCCCCAGAGCGCGGCAGCAGCGCAGCCCCCCCGCACAGGCAGCCGAGGGGCGGCGGCCAUUACGCGUCUCUGCCGCGGCGCAGGCGCGAUCGCGACCUUGGCAGCGGCUCGGCCGGGACGCGCUCGGGCGUCCCGAGAUGGCGGCACCAAGGGCGGGAGAAAGGAGCCGCGCGGCCCGUGCCCCGGACCGGCUGUUGGGCACCCCGAGGCCGCAGCGGCGGGAUUGUCCGUGAGCAGGGACGGAGAUGGACCCAGCCCAGCGCGUGGAAAUGGAUCUCUCCAGCUGAACGCUCAGGUGAAGUGAGCAGAGAGCAUGCCCAGCAUGAACCAGGUGACCUGCACAUCUCCAGGGUAAUGAUUCUUGCACCUUCAGAGCCACAGUAUCGCUGAGCUUUUUUUUUCCCCAGGCUUUUAAUCACCUCUCAAACAGACGAAUACUCCCCUUGGAGGCUGCUGUGCCCUGUGCACCGGGGAGCCUGGCAGGUGGCCCCGUUGGUGAGAGGAGGGCAGCUGCAAGCAGGCAGCCCCCAGGAAAACACGGGAGUUUCAGUGCUUUCUGAUGCCUGAGGAAUGGGGAGAUGGCCUGAGCUCAGCAGGAGUUAAGCGCGGCCAUACAGAGGCCUGGCUGUUAUGAUUUAAGAUCGCUUAUUGAAUGUCUGUAGUUUCUAUAGAUAUUUGUAUAUCUGUCAAAGUAGGAUAUGGAGCCUUGUGCAGGAGAAAAAGAACUCUUUAUGUAAGAUAUGACCUGGGGGGGGCAUCAUGCCAGGCUAUCCCUUCCAGAUUUGGAAGGCUUCAGUGUUUUGUGUGGCAUGAUGGGAAGUUUUGAAAAUUAAGAUUUUUCUCUUUGGUGCAGGUCAGAUGGGUGACGCCUGGCAGCUCGUGCACUGCCACUGUGCUAACCUGUGUGCCUUCCCUCCCUGCUCCACAGGCAGAGCAACACGGGAGCAGCAGGGAGAGGUGGCUUUGUCCUGGAGGUUCCAGGAGCUCGGGGUGGAUAUGCGAGCCUGCAGCUCCAGGCUGCCGCAGGACCCAAGGGCUGCACACACCCAGAGCGUACAGGUUCGCUCGUAUUGUAAUUUGCAAACGGCACGGCAAAUGCCACGAGAGCAGCUGCGGAAGGUGGCUCAGAAGCAAUGACAAGAAUGUGCUGCAAAGUUGGGUCCAGCAGUCCAGCUUCCCGACACGCCAAUUCUGAAGCACUGAGCAGAGCCGAUCUCUGAGAGCUGACACGGGAGCUCUGGUGAGGACAGCUGCUCCCCUGCCUCGGUGUGGGACCUGCUGAGCUGCCGUUCCUGUGGUGGGAGUGUUUCUCCUCUCAUCCAGGCAAGCCAGAGACCUCCUAGGGAAGGGGCAGCAGAGUGCAGCCGCCCAAGAAAGGAUUUUUUGUGGCUCAGCCAGAUGUUCUCCUGCCUCCCGCCAAGACCCUGAGAUGGAGCUGAGUUUGCAUUCCAAUUUAUUGGAACAGAGGCUCAUCAGAAGUUUCCUCAGCUAUCUGAGGCACAGAGCCCUGGAGCCAAGACAGCGUGAAGACUGAAAUUGUAAGAAGAUGUGGAGGGAAACAGAGAAUCUGACGGGAGCAUCGAACGCACAAGUGCACAAAUUUUGCUUGGAUUUAAACUCAGAAGUUGUAAGGAAUUUGGGAAUGAGAAGGGACAUUUCAGAAGGAGAAGAAGUUGUUGUUACAGUCCUGGCAUAAUCUUUUGUUCUAGCUAAUAAAGGAAGUUAGUUUAAAUUAAAAAAAAGAAAAAAAUGUGGGGUUUUUUUCUUCACUAUUAUAUUCAUUGGUGGUAUAUGGUGUGUUGUUUUAUUUCUUGGUAUUAUUAACUCUGUGUAAAUUGUUUUUGGAGUGAAGCUAACUUUCUGGAUGGGUUGGUUUGUAUUUGAGGUAGGAUUAAUUACAAUAGGUUUCUUUAAUAGAGUUCUGAUAGGUAUUACUUGGGUUUUGGUUUUGUUUGCUGUAUAUAUAAACAUACACAUUUGGUAGGGCCAGCUUGGCUGCUGGAGUUUAGCAAAUGACCUAAAUUGUUUUUUUGUUACAUCCUGUGAUCAGUUUUAGGCAGUGACUUUAUACUGCUUUUAGGAUUUUCUUAUGCAAUGGUGAGAAAAUAGGCAGGUCUGAUACUUGUUUGACUUUUUUUGUACUUAAUGUUUCAUGAAAUUCUGUAAGCCAAGCGAUCUACUGGUUAAACUAUACCAUCAACUCUUCCUCAUUCCUUUGGGCCUAGAUUCCCCAUUUCCCAUGUCUCUCUGUCUACUUGUUAUCAUACCCAGCUAGGCCUCCUGUGAACUGGUCUUGCCAGAAGGGCUUGCUGAGUUUUCCACUGUGUGGAAAAGAGAUCCCAUUUGGAGCCUGAAGCCUCGUGUUUCCUGUAGGAUUUCCACUCCUAGAAUUGCACACUUUGAAGGAUUUCUUAUAGCAGAAGUUUUCUGGGAGCUAGGACUCUGGCUGGAUUAGGGUCUCUGGACUCUCAGGUGAAGUGACCUUGAGACACUAGGGCAUGCAGAUUUCCUUGCUGUUGAAAAGAGCUAUUGUUGGCACCCAGGAGCCAUGGUCUGAAUGGGGGUGUCACCUCUUAAAUUUGCAAAUGUAACAGGAUUUCUUCUAAAUGAAUGGUGCUAAGAACAUAAGGUCUGGCUGGCUUUCGACUUAGAGGCGCCUCCUCUAAAUUGGUCUUCAGAUGCUAGGUUGGAAAGUGUUCCUACAUAUGCCAAAUAGCCCUUGUUAUGCAGUUAAUAAGCUUCAAAGUACACAUGGAGUUGCUGCCCCUGCAAAGAUUUUGGCAGAGCCUGGUUGUGGUGCCCCAUUCCACUCCACCCCCCUUAGCAGGUCCUUAUGGUUGUAUGGGGAAUCGUUGUGGAGCAUGCCAACCCAGCUCCAUCCUGGGAACAGCACCUGUAUUUUACCCUAAAAUUUCUGUCCCAUUAUAGCUCCUGUUAGGAUACAAAUGUAACUCGGUUUCCACUGAUUUUACCCCCAGUCAUCUUUCCAUACAAACAUUGCUCCGCUCUCCAGAGGAUUAUUGUGAGCAGAUGUGAGCUCUGCUGUCCCUUUGGACUGACAAAGGCAGAGGUUUUGUCCCAAGUUCCUUUUGAACCUGUCUUGCACCUGUUACGAGUCCUCAGUCUCCUGCAAUUUUGUGGGUCAGUGACAUGUAAAACAGCACAGCUGGCUGGCAUGCUUUGCUUAUGAGGGGAGACAAGAGAAGAAUCCCUCUGCUCACACCAGACCUGCAGCUGCCAAACCUCACCAAAGCACCUGAGGAGCCCCCAGGGACUGAUGGUACAGAAGGGAGGUGAUGGAGGACAGCACAGCAGGCAGCCUGCCCUCCAUCUGGGUGUGAAGAAGGCAGGGCUGGGAACUAAGCAACAUCCCAGCAGGUCUGGCUGAUGGUGCCACCCUGAGGGCUUCCCCUGCCUUUGGGCAGUCCCAGCUGCUGCAGCUCACUUGACAGAGACUCAUUGUCUAUACUGUGCUUGGCUGCACUGGAGAUGAUGAAGCCGAGGACAGCAAUGGUUGCCUUCGCAUCCCCUGACUGCAGAUGGGAAGGAGGGCAAGCUCUGUCACCUUGGGAAGGCAUCUGCAGAUUCAUUGCUGCCCGUCUCUGGAGCAUGGCUCCAUCGGGGGAUCGUGGUAAGGACAGCAGUGCUCACCUAACUCUGCACCUGAGGACAGCUUCAGGACCUUGUCAUACUGUGGGAGAGCAGAGCUUCACAGUAAAUACCAGCUAACAUACUUAGUACCAGUGUUAACACUAACAAUCCUUACCUAAAUAUUAAUACUAGUAACACUAUGCGUAUUAUUAGAGGCUGGUAGAGUUCUUAAGGCUGAGGCUUGCAUGAAGAACACAAAAUUAAUUAACGUUGCUGAUUAUGCUAUUGUGUUGAAAUACUUGGCCUCCACUGCAGUAGCCCCACACUAACCUCGAUGGCCUGCCCCAGCAGGUCCCAAAACACCUGGAUGCAGAUCAGCUUAAGCUUCACUGAUGUGAUAAACAGAGUUCAUUCUUUAAAAUUUUUAAAAGUUUAUUAAAGGAUAAAAGGACAAAAUAA